This 433-nucleotide ribosomal RNA is filed under the name uncultured bacterium. Its description in RNAcentral is "partial 16S ribosomal RNA". It matches the Rfam family "Bacterial small subunit ribosomal RNA", at positions 29 to 507 of the family's 1533-position model. The record is from RNAcentral.
AACGAACGCUGGCGGCAUGCCUAACACAUGCAAGUCGAACGAGACCUUCGGGUCUAGUGGCGCACGGGUGCGUAACGCGUGGGAACCUGCCCUUAGGUUCGGAAUAACUCCCCGAAAGGGGUGCUAAUACCGGAUAAUGUCUUCGGACCAAAGAUUUAUCGCCUUUGGAUGGGCCCGCGUUGGAUUAGCUAGUUGGUAGGGUAAAAGCCUACCAAGGCGACGAUCCAUAGCUGGUCUGAGAGGAUGAUCGGCCACACUGGGACUGAGACACGGCCCAGACUCCUACGGGAGGCAGCAGUGGGGAAUAUUGGACAAUGGGCGAAAGCCUGAUCCAGCAAUGCCGCGUGAGUGAUGAAGGCCUUAGGGUUGUAAAGCCCUUUUACCCGGGAUGAUAAUGACAGUACCGGGAGAAUAAGCUCCGGCUAACUCCGUG